Molecule: long non-coding RNA, 1005 nt
Organism: Gallus gallus (chicken)
Lineage: Eukaryota; Metazoa; Chordata; Aves; Galliformes; Phasianidae
Exons: 3
Source: RefSeq, a predicted model, not a curated record
GCGCUGGAAGGGUUAACGCCGGGCUCAGCGCUGCUCCCUCGCGGCGCUCCGAGUGCUGGGUGGAAUCCCAUUGCGCCUUCUCCGGCUCCACCAUUUCCUAAAAAGAGGCAAACCAACGGAACGCGAAGGAGCUUGGAUGUGCUCUGCAGAGGAGAAGCCAGAGUUGCCUUGUGUACCUAGAGGCCAAUCCCUGCAGAGAUGAGAAGAUAACGUAAUGGGGUGAUUUCCCCAAAACUGGAAAAAUAGUACUGUGAUAUGAGGUGAGUAGUCUCAUAGCUGAGUACUACGAGAAGUAAAACCUUUUCUUAUAAGAAUGCCACCUGAUCUUAAUGUUUUUUUUCUCUUUAUUUUGAGGGUGCAGAAUCAUUAACAUCUUCCAGAUUCCCUGGAGUUUCUUUUAUUACCACUUUUAAACAUACCUCAUAACAAGUACGUUUUGUUUCAUUGCUUGAAUAAAACGUAGACAAACAUGAAUCCAAAGGAUUUUUUACUCUGCACCACAUUUGCUUAAUUCUAGACAGAGCAGCCUUGAUGUUCUUUCUUGUGGAAGAGUUCAGCAGUUAAACUUGCUUCUUGUUAAAAUAAAUUGUUAAGACCCUAUUGUAAUUUUACUCCAUAAAUAGAAGCACAGCCUUUUUGCAAUAUAAUACAUGUCUUAUAUGCCUCGGUUGUGCUGUAGAAUCAUUAAACCAAUUAGAGACAUGUUUUUCCUGACUAUAAUUUCUCCGAGACUUGCAGCCUGUAAUUUAUGUGUAACUUUGUAUGUAGUAAGACAUUUGUGUGUUGGUUUUUUUCUGUCUUUCUCCGCAUCACUCUUAAAAAUAAAAUUGUCCCAGAUGCUGAAAUACAGUUUUUGAAAUAGGAACAUGCAGCUCUUGGUUUCUUUACAAAACAGCAGCCACUGCUGUAGUAAUAAGAUUUGUUUGUCCUGCUAGCCAGAAAUAGUUACAGUCACCAUUCAGACGCCUUCAGCUCUGUCAAAAUGCCACAGUUACUGUAAUUCUG